RNAcentral lists this ribosomal RNA (500 nucleotides) under uncultured bacterium. RNAcentral describes it as "partial 16S ribosomal RNA". It matches the Rfam family "Bacterial small subunit ribosomal RNA", at positions 30 to 523 of the family's 1533-position model. The record is from RNAcentral.
AUUGAACGCUGGCGGAAUGCCUUACACAUGCAAGUCGAACGGCAGCACGGACUUCGGUCUGGUGGCGAGUGGCGAACGGGUGAGUAAUGUAUCGGAACGUGCCCAGUCGUGGGGGAUAACAUAGUGAAAAUUACGCUAAUACCGCAUACGAUCUAUGGAUGAAAGCGGGGGAUCGCAAGACCUCGCGCGAUUGGAGCGGCCGAUAUCAGAUUAGGUAGUUGGUGGGGUAAAGGCCCACCAAGCCAACGAUCUGUAGCUGGUCUGAGAGGACGACCAGCCACACUGGAACUGAGACACGGUCCAGACUCCUACGGGAGGCAGCAGUGGGGAAUUUUGGACAAUGGGCGAAAGCCUGAUCCAGCCAUUCCGCGUGCAGGAUGAAGGCCCUCGGGUUGUAAACUGCUUUUGUACAGAACGAAAAGGUUUCUACUAAUACUAGGAGCUCAUGACGGUACUGUAAGAAUAAGCACCGGCUAACUACGUGCCAGCCGCCGCUGUAA